AUUGAAAGCGUCUUGUAGCUGUGGGUUACGUAAACCUAUAUGAAUGGAUGACAAUGAAAGGGCAAGGCUUCAUUAAGUAGGAGGACCAUGUUUUAAAAAGGCAACAACUUUGCCCCAGACAAAUAGAAUGAUUGACUAUGGGACAAGAUGGACAAACUAAAAUGAAUCACCGAACAAUGUUAAAUCAGUGACAAAAACAAGAGACAAAUAAACCCAUCCAUUUACUUCAUCCUGGGGCUGCUUUAGAUUUAGGCCUUUGAUGUGGUUUAUGCAGCCUCACACGUAUAGUAUACGGAGACAGUGGCAGGCAUGAAGGGUUUCGGAGCUGGAUCCACAAUAUCUUCCAAGUUCUGAAAGCUGAGAAGUACAAUGUCAAGGGACUAUAUCAGGUGCAGAACCCUCAUGAUCCAAUCUCCUAUUAAGGGCCCCACUUCUCAACACUGCCAUACUGUGGACCAAGUUUCAACAUGAGUUUUGGAGGGGACAUUCAAACCACAG
This is a long non-coding RNA of Gorilla gorilla gorilla (western lowland gorilla), 498 nucleotides long. RefSeq lists it as uncharacterized. The transcript is spliced from 5 exons. Lineage: Eukaryota; Metazoa; Chordata; Mammalia; Primates; Hominidae. The record is from RefSeq and is a predicted model, not a curated record.